GCGUGAGCGAUGAAGGCCUUCGGGUUGUAAAGCACUUUUGGCAGAGAAAGAAAAUGGCCUGAUUAAUACCUGAGACAAAUGACGGUACCUGCACAAUACACACCGGCUAACUAUGUGCCAGGAGCCGGGGUAAUACGUAAGGUGCGAGCGUAAAUCAGCAAUUACUGGGCGUAAAGCGUGCGCAGGCAGAUCCCAAAGAACGGUGUCAAAUCCCCGGGCUGUCCUGGGAACUAUAUUUUAACUACCGGGCUAGAGUGUGUCAGAGGGGGGUGGAAUUCCNCGUGUACCAGAGAAAUGCGUAUAGAUGCGGAAGAACACCGAUGGCGAAGGCACCCCCUGGAGAUACACGGACGCUCAUGCACGAAAGCGUGGGGAGCAAACACGAUUACAUACCCUGGUAGUCCACGCCCUAAACGAUGUCAACUAGCCUGUUGGGGGCUUCGGCUCUUGGUAGCGCAGCUAACGCGUGAAUUUGACCGCCUGGGGAGUACGGUCGCCAGAUUGAAACUCAAAGGAAUUGACGGGGACCCGCACAAGCGGUGGAUGAUGUGGAUUAAUUCGAUGCAACGCGAAAAACCUUACCUACCCUUGACAUGUCCGGAUAGCUAAAGAGAUUUGGCUGUGACUCUCAAGAGAACUCGGAACACAGGUGCUGCAUGGCUGUCGUCAGCUCGUGUCGUGAUAUGUUGGGUUAAGUCCCGCAAAGAGCGCAACCCUUGUUAUUAGUUGCUACUAAGGGGCACUCUAAUGAGACUGCCGGUGACAAACCGCAGGGAGGGGGGGAAGAUCUCAAAUCCUCAUUGCCCUUAUGGGUAGGGUUUCACACGUCAUACAAUGGUCGGGACAGAGGGUUGCCAACCCGCGAGGUGGAGCCAAUCCCAAAAACCCGAUCGUAGUCCGGAUCGCAGCUCUGCAAGUCGACUGCGUGAAGUCGGAAUCGCUAGUAAUCGCGGAUCAGCAUGUCCCGGUGAAUACGUUCCCGGGUCUUGUACACACCGCCCGUCACACCAUGGGAGCGGGUUUAACCCAGAAGUAGGUAGCCUAACCGCAAGGAGGGCGCUUACCACGGUAGGAUUCGUGACUGGGGUGAAGUCGUAACAAGGUAGCCGUAUCGGGAAGGUGCGGCUGGAUCACCUCCUUAAGCUUGGAUCCC
Molecule: ribosomal RNA, 1153 nt
Filed under: Bordetella sp. enrichment culture clone Sa6_4.6
Lineage: Bacteria; Pseudomonadati; Pseudomonadota; Betaproteobacteria; Burkholderiales; Alcaligenaceae
Description: bacterial SSU rRNA
Rfam family: Bacterial small subunit ribosomal RNA
Source: RNAcentral